This 73-nucleotide transfer RNA is filed under the name Elanus caeruleus. RNAcentral's name for it is "tRNA-Asn". It matches the Rfam family "tRNA". From Rfam's summary of the family: Transfer RNA (tRNA) molecules are approximately 80 nucleotides in length. Their secondary structure includes four short double-helical elements and three loops (D, anti-codon, and T loops). Further hydrogen bonds mediate the characteristic L-shaped molecular structure. tRNAs have two regions of fundamental functional importance: the anti-codon, which is responsible for specific mRNA codon recognition, and the 3' end, to which the tRNAs corresponding amino acid is attached (by aminoacyl-tRNA synthetases). tRNAs cope with the degeneracy of the genetic code in two manners: having more than one tRNA (with a specific anti-codon) for a particular amino acid; and 'wobble' base-pairing, i.e. permitting non-standard base-pairing at the 3rd anti-codon position. The record is from RNAcentral. Lineage: Eukaryota; Metazoa; Chordata; Aves; Accipitriformes; Accipitridae.
UAGAUAGAAGCUUGUUGGUUGGAGCACUUGGCUGUUAACCAGGAUGUUAUGGGAUCGAAGCCCAUCUAUCUAG